CUUAAAGUUGUAUUGUUAUUAGUAUUUUUAUUAUUACUUUAAUUUUAUAAUUUGACCAGAAAUUAUAUUUUAAUUUUAUCACACUCGUAAAACCUCAUUAUGGGAGUGUUUUGCAUUGAACUUGCAUGAGGGAUAUCAAAUUUGACCACGCUUUUUUUUAAUAAUACACAACUUUCUAAAGGCAUUAAUUGAAUUGAGUUAAAAACUGGAUAGAAAAAUCACAAAAUUGUAUAUUUCUAGGACCAAAGUACUAGUUUAUGGAUUAAAAUAAGAAAAUCACAAAUUGAGCCUACAGUAGCAGCAUAUACCAGCUUUCUUUUUGCUAACUCACUAUUUUGAAUAUAUAUGUCAUACACAGCAAUUGUCACCCGUCCCUCUCUGUGGUGCAUAUCUUAUCACAGAUAGGUAACGUUUUUGGUGUCUUCUUAAAAAGAACAGAUGGUAUGUGUCUCCUGCUCAUGUGGCAAAGGGAAACAGCAAGGGAUUUUGACCUAGCUUCCACAGUAUACUAGUGAGUGUAAAAAUUAGGUCAAUGUUAUUGGAUACUGAUUUAUUUCACUAGACUACGAGGGUAAAAUUCAGUGGCAGAGACAGGACAUUUUGUGAUCCUGCCCUUUCAAAAAUGUCCAUUGUCCACAGUAGUUUCUCUACACCUGUGAAUAUUCUUAAGGGUUGUGUAUUUAUUUACUCUCAAAGUUAUAUAUCUGCUAAAAUUGCAUCAAUAAUUGCCACUGUUACACAUUAGAAAGGCAGUGAUGGUGAUGAUUUUCAGUAGCACCACUCCAGCAUGUUGACUGCCUUGGAUAAAUCCCCCAUCUUAUUCAAUUUAUGACAUCUGUUAUAUAAAAAAAGUUUUUAAAAAACCCCUUCAGUUUAACAUAAGAAUAGGGAGUAAAUAUAUAUAAACAUUUUUUUGGAGGAAAGGGCAAAGAGAGUGUGUCUGCUAACUGACUAACAAAGUCUAAAAUGCAACAUUUGUGUGAAAUUUACAUUCGUAAUGAUGUUUACAGUAAAUGUUUAAGCAAAAAGAUUAAAAAAAAUAUAUAGAUUCCAAUCAUGUGGGACAGUUUAAUAAAUAAAAACAAAACAAAAAAAAACUAACUGCCAUGCUUGUGGGGAUAUUUCAAUACAUUGUUGAAUUUUACACUGUCAUUUUUCUUCUAAAUGUUUUGUUCAUUACAUUUUGAAAUGUAAUUUCUAAAUUUUCCAUCAGACAUGUUUGAUACUGUCAAUGAGUUAGGAGCUAAUAUCCAAUACACUUUACUAAACCUGCAGUAGACUAGGAAUGCUGGAUUGAGCCAGCUCUGAUGUGAUUACCUAAGAGGAUGUAGUGCUAAGGUUUGUGUCAUAUAAUUCUCCAUUAGCCAUUGUCUACAAAUCACCGAGGUGAACAUUAAAAUGGUUAUAAGCAUUUGGUGUGUUUUUAAACUACUCACAAUGUAUUCAGUCACUGCAAACAAUUAUCUUUGUAGUUAUCCACUGAAUCAUACUAUUUUACAAAAUUCCUUAUCUAAGUCUGUAAUUUUGCACUUUGCAUAUUUUUUAAUUUAAU
This 1552-nucleotide long non-coding RNA is filed under the name Pelobates cultripes (western spadefoot toad). Lineage: Eukaryota; Metazoa; Chordata; Amphibia; Anura; Pelobatidae. The record is from RNAcentral.